This 486-nucleotide ribosomal RNA is filed under the name uncultured bacterium. Its description in RNAcentral is "partial 16S ribosomal RNA". It matches the Rfam family "Bacterial small subunit ribosomal RNA", at positions 28 to 507 of the family's 1533-position model. The record is from RNAcentral.
GAUGAACGCUAGCGGCAGGCUUAACACAUGCAAGUCGAGGGGCAGCGCGGGAUAGCAAUAUCCUGGCGGCGACCGGCGGAAGGGUGCGUAACGCGUGAGCGACAUGCCCGUUGCCCGGGGACAACCGGUGGAAACGCCGACUAAUCCCCGAUGGGAUAUUGUGCCGCAUGGCACGAUAUUGAAAGUUACGGCGGCGACGGAUUGGCUCGCGUCCGAUUAGCUUGUUGGCGGGGGAACGGCCCACCAAGGCUGCGAUCGGUAGGGGUUCUGAGAGGAAGGCCCCCCACAAGGGGACUGAGACACGGCACAGACUCCGACGGGAGGCAGAAGUGAGGAAUAUUGGUCAAUGGGCGGAAGCCUGAACCAGCCAUGCCGCGUGCGGGAAGGAGGCCCUAUGGGCUGUGAACCGAUUUUGCCUGGGGGCAAUAAGGGCGUCGCGCACGUCCGAUGAGAGUACCAGGCGAAUAAGCAUCGGCUAACUCCGUG